This 484-nucleotide ribosomal RNA is filed under the name uncultured bacterium. RNAcentral's name for it is "partial 16S ribosomal RNA". It matches the Rfam family "Bacterial small subunit ribosomal RNA", at positions 28 to 507 of the family's 1533-position model. The record is from RNAcentral.
AUUGAACGCUGGCGGCAUGCUUUACACAUGCAAGUCGAACGGCAGCGCGGGCUUCGGCCUGGCGGCGAGUGGCGAACGGGUGAGUAAUGCAUCGGAACGUGCCCAGUAGUGGUGGAUAGCCCGGCGAAAGCCGGAUUAAUACCGCAUACGACCUGAGGGUGAAAGCGGGGGACCGAAAGGCCUCGCGCUAUUGGAGCGGCCGAUGUCGGAUUAGCUAGUUGGUGGGGUAAAGGCUUACCAAGGCCACGAUCCGUAGCUGGUCUGAGAGGACGACCAGCCACACUGGGACUGAGACACGGCCCAGACUCCUACGGGAGGCAGCAGUGGGGAAUUUUGGACAAUGGGGGCAACCCUGAUCCAGCCAUGCCGCGUGCGGGAAGAAGGCCUUCGGGUUGUAAACCGCUUUUGUUCGGGAAGAAAUCCUCUGGGCUAAUACCCCGGGGGGAUGACGGUACCGGAAGAAUAAGCACCGGCUAACUACGUG